AUCUCGAUUCUGUUCAAUAGCUAAGAGUUUAGAAUAAAUCACUAUGUGGUGUUUUUAUAUAUUAUCUAUUAUUUGAGUAAGGAACAAAGUACUUUAUUCGUUGUUCAUCGCAGAUCAGAUAGACGGGCAAAAUGCUCAACAAGAUAAACAUUUUUUUAGCACAGAACGAGAAGUAAUUCAUUUUUAUAUACUUUCUAUAAAGCGAAACAAAUUAUUUUGUAAAAAGCAUGACUGAAGCAGAAAGAACUAUUUCAAUCUUCAACUAUUAAUAUAUAUAAUACAAAAUAAAAGAUUGAUGUAAUUCUACUUCUUUUUUAUGAGAUUUCAAGGUCAUCGGUCAUUUUUAAAACGGGAUGGAGUACUUUUCUCAUUGUUAUCUUGUAGCUGAUAAAAAAAAAAAAACAAAUUUAAACAUGUAUAAUACGUUGACACUGUGCGUAGAGUAUGAUUGUAUAAGAAUAAUUCCUUUACAAGGUCAUCUGAAGGUCAACAAAGUAUGUCCCCCUCCAAACGAAAUAAUGUUUUCCUCUGACAUUUCUUCCUAUCGCAAUACACGCGAUGUAUUUAAGAUGUAAGAGUUAGGUGGGACACCCUGUAUAUUAGAACCAGUCUACAGACCAAUUGAGUAAUUGUUUUCAAUUUGUAAUUACCUCACCAAUUUCAACAGUUAACGGAUAAUUAUGUUGGAGGGAGUACGAAAUAAUUAUCACACAUUCUUAAUUUCUAAGAUAUAAUUACAAAUCAACUUAGAUAAUUACUGCUUGUAUGCGAUGAAUUGAUUCUGUUUCCAACAAAUAUUAAGACGAAUAAACAAUUAUAAAUUUAAAAUAAAUUAUAAUUACUUAUUCGUGGUUCUCACUAAACCGCUCCUAGCAGCAGGCAACCCGAUGCUCGCGUGCGUCGGAACUUCGAUGCGGUACUUCAUUUCUAGUAAUCGUAUCUUGGAUAAAAAGCGCAAACGACAAUUAUUUUCUACAGAAAAUAACAUCGGUACGCUUAGGACUAUAGCCACUCGAACAUAUUUCAAAAUCGUUGAAGUCGGUGAGGUCGUCACUAAUGUAAACAAUUACCAAAACGGAUAGUUAAACAUAAAAGUGUUAUCCUUUUGAUUAUAAAUUCUGUUCUUCCAAUCUGCUACCUCUGACAAUCAAAAAUAUACCAAUCGAAACUGCUAUUUCUUCAUUUCGAAUAUACAACUCCGGAAAUUAAUUUUAAAUAAGAUUAAGUUCAUCCAUCUUCAUUUAUUUUUAACUUCAGGAGUCCUUAAAGGAAGAUCUUAUAGAAGAAGGAAUCUUCCUUUCCUUAAAUUUUAUCUCUAUCUCUUGAGACAAAUCUGUGAACGUUAUUGAAACAUGAAUAAACAUUCAUUCAAACGGUAGGAUGUUAAAGGUUUACAGUCUUUUUGUAAAUAAAAAAAUAACAAAAGUAGCUGGAAAGAUGUUCUACGGUAGAAUACACCACCGAUAGGUUAACGAGUGUAUACGAUUAUUAAACGAAUUUUCUAUAAACAGAACAAUGGCCCGUGAUGGGUUGACGAAUGCGCCCUGUUCGAGAUGUGCAAAUGUCAAGAUUCCUAAUCGAAAGUAGGAAGUUGCCUGACCUCCGAGAGGCAUCUUUCCUGAGAGUGGAUGCCCUCGUGGUUUUUCAUUACCACGGAUCUCGUCUUGGCAACCAACCGGAAGACCGGGGCGCACAAUUGUACCGGGUGGGGGAUAAAUAAGGAGUAGGUGGCUCGACGAGAUGAGGCGAGAAACAAGUCGGAAGUAGGUCAGCGGGACUGUCGGUCGUGAGGGUCCGGGUUCGUUUCUCCUUUCCUCGAGAGCUGCUUGCCAUCUCUGGUCGACGAAACAAAACAUGCAAGUGCGAUUCCUCGUACGAUCAAGUGCGCUAAAACAGAAAAAUAAGGGAUAUCACCGGUGGUGGGUAUCGCCGAUAGCAUUUAAAAUAAUUAACUUCCGGUUCUUCGAUCAUUCUCAUUUAUAUUUUAUACAUACAUAGAUUUCUUUGUAUAUUUACAAGUAGUUCGUUUCCUCGUCCGUUUUCAUUAUUUAUUUCUGUUACUUUUUUUGGGGGGUAGCGGGGAGGAAUAUCUAGUCUGCUCGCAUAUUUCGUCGUUUUCCUCCCGUGGUAACGCUUAAAACUGCUAGUGAUUAUUUUACACUCAACAUCAAUAGACACUCAGGUAGAGCUAAUAAAUUUUUCUAACGAUUUGUUAAAUUUUCUCUUCGCAUCUUCCUCUGCUCUCGCAUUCUCUCAUUCCGGUUGCACACUCUCCCUAUUACUCUCCUUUCUGCUGUAUACGCAGACCACGUCUUCGUGUAAAACUCGAGAAUGCACACGGAUCGGUAUGAACCUCGGUAAAAUAUAGUAGAAAUCUCUUCACUUCUUUCUCUCUCGAUAAAAAAAUAUGCGCAUCGUAUAUUUUUUGAUUAAACUUAGGUGACCUAUGCACGACACCACUAUUCAAUUUUGUAAGGACGGAUCUUCACAUUAACGCUAAUCAACGUUGCACAUCACUGUGUGCCUUUGAAGCAUUGGUCUAAGAAUAAACUCCCAAAAUCUGGCAAUUGUUUUCAUUUUUUUUUUUAAAACGGCUAUCGAUUAUUUGUUCGUUUAGAUAUCUUAAACACAAUAAAUAAACGAUAAUUACUGUUUCGGGAUGUUUAGAA
Molecule: long non-coding RNA, 2669 nt
Organism: Hylaeus anthracinus
Lineage: Eukaryota; Metazoa; Arthropoda; Insecta; Hymenoptera; Colletidae
Exons: 2
Source: RefSeq, a predicted model, not a curated record